GUUUGAUCCUGGCUCAGGACGAACGCUGGCGGCGUGGAUUAGGCAUGCAAGUCGAACGGUAUGUGUUCUUCGGAACACAGAGAGUGGCGAACGGGUGAGUAACGCGUAGGUGAUCUACCUUCAGAUGGGGGACAACCCAGGGAAACUUGGGCUAAUACCGCAUGUGUCCGAGAGGAUAAAGCCGGCCUCUGCUUGCAAGCUGGUGUCUGGAGCUGAGCCUGCGUCUGAUUAGCUAGUUGGUGGGGUAACGGCCUACCGAGGCGAUGAUAAGUAGGCGGCUUUAACGAGUGGCCGCCCACACUGGGAUUGAGAAACGGCCCAGACUCCUACGGGAGGCAGCAGUCGAGGAUAGUCUACAAUGGCCGAAAGGCUGAUAGUGCGACGCCGCGUGAACGAAGAAGCAUUUCGGUGUGUAAAGUUCUUUUCCAUGAGAGCAGGGUACCCUUGGUUAAUAGCGAGGGGUAUUUGAUAUUAUUAUGGGAAUAAGCCACGGCUAACUCCGUGCCAGCAGCCGCGGUAAUACGGGGGUGGCGAGCGUUGUCCGGAAUUACUAGGCGUAAAGGGCAGGUAGGCGGUUUUAUAGGUUAAUCGUUAAAGACCCAUGCUCACCAUGGGGAGGGCGGUUGAUACUGUAAGACUGGAAGCGAGUGGGGGAAGACGGAAUUCCUGGUGUAGCGGUGGAAUGCGCAGAUAUCAGGAGGAACACCGAAGGCGAAGGCAGUCUUCUACGCUUGUCUUGACGCUAAACUGCGAAGGUGCGGGUAUCAAACAGGAUUAGAUACCCUGGUAGUCCGCACAGUAAACGAUAAUCACUAGGUGUCGGUCGGAUAUACCGGUCGGUGCCGUAGCUAACGCGAUAAGUGAUUCGCCUGGGGAGUAC
Molecule: ribosomal RNA, 880 nt
Filed under: uncultured bacterium
Lineage: Bacteria
Description: bacterial SSU rRNA
Rfam family: Bacterial small subunit ribosomal RNA
Source: RNAcentral